This 178-nucleotide unclassified non-coding RNA is filed under the name uncultured Pleosporaceae. RNAcentral's name for it is "sequence contains ITS2". The record is from RNAcentral. Lineage: Eukaryota; Fungi; Ascomycota; Dothideomycetes; Pleosporales; Pleosporaceae.
GUACCCUCAAGCUUUGCUUGGUGUUGGGCGUCUUUUUGUCUCUCCCUUUUUGUGGAGAGACUCGCCUUAAAACGAUUGGCAGCCGACCUACUGGUUUUCGGAGCGCAGCACAAAUUUGCGCCUUCCAAUCCACGGGGCGGCAUCCAGCAAGCCUUUGUUUUCUAUGAACAAAUCCACA